GACGAACGCUGGCGGCGGGCUUAACACAUGCAAGUCGAACGGAAAGGCCCUGCUUUUGUGGGGUGCUCGAGUGGCGAACGGGUGAGUAACACGUGAGUAACCUGCCCUUGACUUUGGGAUAACUUCAGGAAACUGGGGCUAAUACCGGAUAGGAGCUCCUGCUGCAGGGUGGGGGUGGGAAAGUUUCGGCGGUUGGGGAUGGACUCGCGGCUUAUCAGCUUGUUGGUGGGGGAGUGGCUGACCAAGGCUUUGACGGGUAGCCGGCCUGAGAGGGUGACCGGCCACAUUGGGACUGAGAUACGGCCCAGACUCCUACGGGAGGCAGCAGUGGGGAAUAUUGCACAAUGGGCGGAAGCCUGAUGCAGCAACGCCGCGUGCGGGAUGACGGCCUUCGGGUUGUAAACCGCUUUCGCCUGUGACGAAGCGUGAGUGACGGUAAUGGGUAAAGAAGCACCGGCUAACUACGUG
This 468-nucleotide ribosomal RNA is filed under the name uncultured bacterium. RNAcentral describes it as "partial 16S ribosomal RNA". It matches the Rfam family "Bacterial small subunit ribosomal RNA", at positions 28 to 507 of the family's 1533-position model. The record is from RNAcentral.